This is a long non-coding RNA of Siniperca chuatsi (mandarin fish), 3668 nucleotides long. RefSeq lists it as uncharacterized. NCBI's taxonomy places the organism in Eukaryota, Metazoa, Chordata, Actinopteri, Centrarchiformes, Sinipercidae. The transcript is spliced from 2 exons. The record is from RefSeq and is a predicted model, not a curated record.
UUAGCUUAGCUUAGCUUAAAGAAUGGAAACAGCUGUAAAAACACGUGUGUGAAGUGUAAAAGUAUUUAAAAAAACAGGUGCAGUAACUUCCUGGAGUCUCUGCUGGUCAUUGUGAUGUCAAGACAUGUCACAAACCACAACUAAUUUUUAUACUAUGGUUUUUGUACGGUUUAAACAAACAAGACACAUUGUGUUAAUUAGUGAGCUUUAGAGGUGCUGGUAGGCAGAUUUUGUCUCCUUUGGACAGAGCCGGGCUAGCUGUUUCCCUUUGUUUCCAGUCUUUGUGCUAAGCUAAGCUAACCAGCUGCUGGCUGUAGCUUCAUAUUUAAUGGACAGGUAUGGUAUCGAUUUCCUUAUUUAACGUUCGGCCAGAAAGUGAAUAAGCAUAUUUCCCAAAAUGUCUAUUUCUGUAAUUCCACUCGGAUUCUUCAACUUCUGCUUUAUGUUCCCCCAACAAGGACAAAAGUUAACACCAACCAAGGCAGUCAGGCUGUCUUGAUGUAGCUCUAAGUUCACUGCAGACUGUGAAGUAAAACUGAGCAUUUGACAGUUCAGCAGGCUGGGUCAUGACAGCAAGAUCUGCACUGAAACAGUCUCGAUAUAGCUCAUGUGUGUAUGCUUGUUGUCAGAGUUACACAAACAGAGAGAAGAAGAAGGAGGAGGAGAAACACUGAGCGCAUUACAGUGAAGAGAAGAGAUAUUUUCAGUCUCUCGGAGUCUUUAAGGCAAAGCUGUCCUCUGGUGAGGAUUAGGGAUCGUUGGGUAGUAAGCAGAGGCUGGCCGCAGGACUGUGGACAUCUAAGAAAGGCAUUCCUUGCGAUGCUGUGGCUGUGGAUUCAGACACAGUUGGAAGGAUGCAUUAAAGCGAAAGAGAGGAGGGUAGGAGGUCAGAGGAGGAGAGACUAGUAGCAGGUGCACACAGCGCUGUAGGAGGAUAGUGGAUUACUGACUGCAGGAUUAAAGUGUGAAUGUUGUUGUAGUGAUGAUGAGGAGGGGUGAGACCAGGGUGAGAAGUUGAUGUGACUCAGCUCUCACAGCCACUUCCUUUGGCGCCUUCGGGAUGGACAGAUGAAAGGAGGAGCAGGAGCGACUCAUCUUGUGGUCAGCUGACUCACGAUAUAGCAAUGGAUACUGGGAAAGGAAGCAUGUGUUGGGUGAUGGGGGGCUGGACUUACGUAUGCAUGUGUGUGAAUGUACUAUGCCUUUGACAGAGGCACAAUUAUUCCAUUUCCUGUCACAGCAGAGGAAUGCAGGGUGAGAUUCCUGCUCUGUGAUUCGUGGCCUCUUACCUGCCAUCACCAUGCGGAUACUAUUUCAUCCCUCCAUUUCCCCCUCGGCCGGGGAAUUCCCCAGUUUGUGUGGUUUUACUGGAGGAAGUUACAGAGUUUGUAUUCCGUAAGCUGUGCUUGUUCUGGUAAUAAUUAGAUACUUCAAGUUGUGGUUAGUUUAACAAAGCUAUGUUCCUGUUUUCUCUACACACAAUUUAUUUUGCUCAUUUGAAGGAGGUCGGGAGUGUAAUCCACUCGUAAAUGAGGGAAACCAAGGAAAGAUACUGCUGUGUUGUUUUCGCUGCAUUUUAGAGCUAGUCAUGUACAAGCAUGGAGGUAAUAGCUCUGGAGGAUGUGGAUGAAAUGUGUAAGUAGAGUAAUUGCUUGUUUGCUUCGCGAGAGCAAGGUGCUUUGUCAUGCCGGGUGUUUGAUGUUUGUGAGAGAGUGAAUGAGUUUAAGAAGGUGCUACUGUAAUUUUUAUUUCCUGUAUGGUUAAUUAUCUUGUGAGAGGCAAACUGGUUUUUUAAGGCUUGCAAAACAUUCAUAUCUCCAAUGUUUACAUCCUUAUAAUUUACUGUAAAUAAAGAUAUUAAUACAGCGCAGUCUCUCUGCGUGUGUGUGUGUGUGUGUGUGUGCGUGUGUGUGUUUCUGUGUGUGUGGGAGCCCGUGUUGACUCACAGUUACAAUAAUGACUGGCAGAGCGGUGGAUGAACAGCUCACUCUGACUGUACAGAGCAGAGAGAGGGAGAGAGAGAGGAGAGGGGGCUGUGCUCUGCCUGGCAUCUCCAUCUCAUAAGUCCUCAGCCGCUCAGUGUGUCCAUCCACACAAACACAUCCAUACAGAGAGAAGACAACCCUGAGGACUACGGCGCCUACAGUGCAGCAUAAUAUAGUACACUUCAGUACAGUGCGAGGCGGGACCAGCUUUUAGUUGGAGCAGCAAGUGUGAUUGGUGACAGAUCAUUUGCAACAGAACGGGCCAUCGUGCAGAGAGAGGAGCAAAUACAGGACAGCUGCCCUCUUCAAACAACAGCUACUUUUGACCUACAUCUGCAUCCAAUUAGUAAAACAAGGCUCAUCAGUCCAUAUUACACAACAUCAAGGAUCUCUUUCUCUGUAUCCAACAUGUCUUGUAUUGCAUGUUUCAAGCAUAAUGCACUGUCUAUCAAAUCAGAAGGCUUGUCGAGUUGAGGACUGCACUCAGAAACUGAUUUCAUUUGGUGACAUAGAUGUUUGUACCCAGUCUCUAGCACCAUAUGAAAUCAGUGUUCUGGGAGGUGGACUAUCAGCAUGUACAGACGUUGUACAUGAAUAAACUGAAAUAUGAGAUGUUCUUGUGAUGCCAAAAAGUGGGUCACAUUUGUAUAAAUUACUGUACUCUCCUGCUUCAUUCACUAACUGGUCACAGCUGCAACCUGCUUCUUGUUAAAUCUUUUUUUUUCCCCUCACUGUGUCUCUCAUUGACUCAAAUAUACAUUUAUCAUGAUUCCACUUUCAUUAAUAAAUUCUGUUAUUUAAUGUAUUUUGGAUAAUUAAGUCUUCCUGAACAGUGGCCAUAACUGCCAACUAAGAGAUAAGGUAAAUGCAAAAACGUAGUGUAACAGUAGUAAGCAGAGAAGAGUCACAAAGUCAGACUCAGUGAUUUAAGUUACACAACAAUAUCUAAAGUUUGCUAACAUUAGCCACCAUAAGCUACUGGUCAUACCAGACCAAGUAAGGAUGUAGCAGCAAAACCCCUGAGUGUACUGAAUUGAGCUAUGGUGCGUUGUAUUGCCUUUGAAUUCAACAUUUCAUUUGUAAGAGGAAGAACGCUGCCUUUCUUAUUUUAAAAGCUACAUAGUUUCACUUUAAAGGCUCAUUCUCUGACUGAAGUCUGCUACCAACUGGCGUGCUUGUCAUCCCAUUACAAAGUUUUCUCUAUGUAGUUUUUUUACUUUAAAAUGAUUAUGAAAUGUACUAUUUAGAUUUCAUCAAAACAAAUCAGUGUAAGGGAUCGCAACUUUAUACAGUUUUGAGACAAUCAGAGGUUGCUCUACAUAUUUAUGAAAUACUGAAAUUAACCUGUAUUUUGUUGUAAUAAACGUGUAAAAUUAUAUUAAGGUGUUUGCUGUGUCCGUAAUACAUGUCACAGAUAAAAUAAAUUAAUCGCAAUAAAAGUUUUCAGUGCCGCUACCGUACAUUUACAUAUCCCUGGACUUCAUCUGUCAACUGGAGAUUAUUUCUUCUGAGCACUCAAGGUUUUCUAGCUUCAGCUGAAAUUAAUUGAAAUGGCUGGAUUUAAUCCAUCUCCCUCAUUAAACUUGACUCAGUUCUUGAAAAUAUAUUACAUAACAUAAGUGUUUAAAUAGUCUCAUCACCUGUUGGAUUUAAUGGAGCAAAUAAAUAACUUGCAAAAAUACA